AGUGAACGCUGGCGGUAGGCCUAACACAUGCAAGUCGAACGGCAGCACAGUAAGAGCUUGCUCUUACGGGUGGCGAGUGGCGGACGGGUGAGGAAUACAUCGGAAUCUACUUUUUCGUGGGGGAUAACGUAGGGAAACUUACGCUAAUACCGCAUACGACCUACGGGUGAAAUCAGAGGAUCUUCGGACCUUGCGCGAUUGAAUGAGCCGAUGUCGGAUUAGCUAGUUGGCGGGGUAAAGGCCCACCAAGGCGACGAUCCGUAGCUGGUCUGAGAGGAUGAUCAGCCACACUGGAACUGAGACACGGUCCAGACUCCUACGGGAGGCAGCAGUGGGGAAUAUUCGACAAUGGGCGCAAGCCUGAUCCAGCAAUACCGCGUGGGUGAAGAAGGCCUUCGGGUUGUAAAGCCCUUUUGUUGGGAAAGAAAAGCAGCAGGUUAAUACCCCGCUGUUCUGACGGUACCCAAAGAAUAAGCACCGGCUAACUUCGUG
This 492-nucleotide ribosomal RNA is filed under the name uncultured bacterium. Its description in RNAcentral is "partial 16S ribosomal RNA". It matches the Rfam family "Bacterial small subunit ribosomal RNA", at positions 29 to 507 of the family's 1533-position model. The record is from RNAcentral.